UACCAGCACCCGAGUGGUCGGGACGUUUAUUGGGCCUAAAGCAUCCGUAGCCGGUUCUACAAGUCUUCCGUUAAAUCCAACUGCUUAACAGGUGGGCUGCGGAAGAUACUAUAGAGCUAGGAGGCGGGAGAGGCAAGCGGUACUCGAUGGGUAGGGUAAAUCCGUUGAUCCAUUGAAGACCACCAGUGGCGAAGGCGGCUUGCCAGAACGCGCUCGACGGUGAGGGAUGAAGCUGGGGAGCAACCGG
RNAcentral lists this ribosomal RNA (247 nucleotides) under uncultured bacterium. RNAcentral's name for it is "partial 16S ribosomal RNA". It matches the Rfam family "Archaeal small subunit ribosomal RNA", at positions 474 to 727 of the family's 1478-position model. The record is from RNAcentral.